UCUACAUCGUAAUCUGUGUCCUGUCUAUCGCUGGGAAAUUCCCUUUAGCGCUUCUCAGAGAGCAGUUCUACUGGUAGUGAGUGUCUUCCUAUGUGGAUUAUCAGUAAAUGACUCUAUUUUCUUUGUUUUUAAAAGGUGCUUUGGCGGAGCAUAGCAUUCUUAGUUGACAUGACUACAAAGCUAUAGUAUGAGAGAAUCCCUGUGUCGAAGCAUGUUUGUCAGCCUGUGCCUCGGUUGGAAGCGGUGGAACCUAUAAAAAUUUCAUCUAUUUGCCUGUGAAUUUCAAGAUGUCAUUGUUUUUUACUGCUGAGUAGUACUCCAUUGUGAUGGUGAAAAUCCCUGCAGACACGAUGUCACAAAGGGCAAAGCUUCAAUCCAAAGUGACACCAUCUGUGCGGCAUGAACUCAGGAACAAGUUAAUAACGUUGUAGAUUCUGGGCCUGCAUUUAAUCUGCUUCAUCUGCUAAACAUUUGUGCUUGACAACAGUAUACACAGCAGAGUAUCAGCUGCUGAUCACAUGUCUUGCACAGAGCUGUGUCUCAUUGCUACAGCCCUUGGUCAUAAGAUACCCUAUCUUUAUCGCCAGCCUAGCAUAUCUAAAUUCUGCUUUCAUAUCCUGCCUUCUUGUGCCAGGUUUAGCAAAUAACUGAGAUAAUUUAAAUAUCAGGGCUUGUAACACCCAGAAAACAUGUUAAGACCCUCAAUACAAGACAAAUUACGACUAUCAUAGGAGGGAGUGUCAUCUCUGAGACUAGUCAACCAAGGACUGUCCUACUUGUCCUAAGAAUGGCUACCUUGAAUACCAACCUAGAGCCUUCAUCCAGUAGCUGAUGGAAGCAGAAGCAGAGAUCCACAGCUAAGUACUGAGCUGAAUUCCUGGAAUCCAGCUGUAGAGAGGGAGACGUGAUGAGCAAAGGGGUCAAGAACAGGCAGGAGAAACCCAGAGAAUACAGCUGACUUGACCAAGUGGGAUCACAUGGACUCCAGUUGUAAAACUGGGGAACUAGCAUUGGACUGAACCAGGCCUUCUGAAUGUGGGUGUCGGUUAGGAGGCCUGGGCUGUCUACGGAACCUCUAACAGUGGAACCAGUAUUUAUCCCUAGUGCACAAAUGGACUUUGGGAGCCCAAUCCCCAUGGAAGGGGUUACUUUCUCAGCCUAGGUCCUCCCCCAAAUGAUAUGACAGACUUUUAAUGAUCCCCCUUGAAUGCCUC
This 1214-nucleotide long non-coding RNA is filed under the name Cricetulus griseus (Chinese hamster). Its description in RNAcentral is "lncRNA (ENSCGRG00015042157.1)". The record is from RNAcentral. Lineage: Eukaryota; Metazoa; Chordata; Mammalia; Rodentia; Cricetidae.